GCAGUGGUGGUUCAGUGGUAGAAUCGUCUUCUAUGUGGGAGACCUGGGUUUGAUUCCUGGCCAGUGUA
RNAcentral lists this transfer RNA (68 nucleotides) under Loxodonta africana (African savanna elephant). It matches the Rfam family "tRNA". From Rfam's summary of the family: Transfer RNA (tRNA) molecules are approximately 80 nucleotides in length. Their secondary structure includes four short double-helical elements and three loops (D, anti-codon, and T loops). The record is from Rfam by way of RNAcentral. Lineage: Eukaryota; Metazoa; Chordata; Mammalia; Proboscidea; Elephantidae.